CACGCCGUAAACGAUGGAUGCUAGAUGUUUCUGGUAUUGACCCCGGAGGCGUCGUAGCUAACGCGUUAAGCAUCCCGCCUGGGGANCGCGAAGAACCUUACCUGGGUUGGAACCCUCCAGAAGUCCGCAGAGAUGUGGAUGUGCUCGCAAGAGAACUGGAUGUCCAGGUGC
Molecule: ribosomal RNA, 171 nt
Filed under: uncultured bacterium
Lineage: Bacteria
Description: partial 16S ribosomal RNA
Rfam family: Bacterial small subunit ribosomal RNA (bases 1-79)
Source: RNAcentral